AUUUUCUGUUGGAAGUCGGGAUUCGAGGAUGUCGGAGCUUGCCCUAAGGGUAAAAGAAAGGUUUUUAAGAUGUUUGUAAAGUGUUUUUAUCAUGUUUGCAUGUUUUUGAGUUAAGAAAAUUGAGUUUUGAAAUGAAAAGACCAAGGGGACAAAAGCCAGGUUCGGCCGCCGAAGGUGAAGUUCGGCCGCCGAAAGUUGCAUGGUUUCGCAUGCAUGUUAGGCCGCCGAAGGAGAGUCGGUUGGCCACUACAAAAGCCCCUUUGCCCGAGACUUG
RNAcentral lists this long non-coding RNA (274 nucleotides) under Manihot esculenta (cassava). RNAcentral's name for it is "long non-coding RNA (MESC_LNC011081)". The record is from RNAcentral. Lineage: Eukaryota; Viridiplantae; Streptophyta; Magnoliopsida; Malpighiales; Euphorbiaceae.